UCUUGCUGAGAGGGGUUCUGCAAAUUCCAGUUUUCUCUGUGUGUGCCCUUUUUUGGACUGGCAUCCUGACAACUGGCUGCCUGGCCUACCCUUCGUCUCUAAUUCUAGUGGUGAUCACUGGCUGUACAGCAGGCUACAAUGUCUGGCACAUGUGUAUACAUGAAGGAGAGUUUUUCUCUUUGGCAGUGUGUGUUAGAUUGCUUUGUUUGAGGGACAUUCCAGCUAGUGAUGUGGAGGAGCAUCACCAAAGAAAGAAAUGGGUUUAUUUUAUAACCGAUCUCACUGUAGCUUUGUAGAAACCCUCAAGACAUAGAUGAGUUUAACUCAAAGACUUUUCUACGAGAAAACAAGCCUUCUGAAAUAAGAGGUAAUUGUUUAAAUUCUCAUUCUUCUUCUUCUCUCUCCCUAGUCUGAUGAUGUUGACCAGAACCUUCUCCCAUUGAAUUAAAUGUCUGAGACAGUCAUGUGGGCAAGCUCUCAGUUAAUACACAACAAAGAACUGUAGCCACAUAUUGACACUAUGUAAUGAAAGGCUGAUGGAAACACAUUCUAGUGAGUGGCAGGAAAUCGAAGACAUGAAGCAAAAAAGAUAUUAAAGAGUUUUUGUAUCAGAGAUAGUAGAAAAUGACGAAUUACUUUUUGGAGUUAGGAUUUUCAAAUAACAACUUUCUGGACAAUUCUCAUUCUUCUUGGUGAAAUAUUCUGCUUUACAUUUUUUUAAUUUUGGAGGUCAGACUAUUUUUUAAGAGCAACAAAGAAUAUUAAAUUGUAAGCAUAAGGGGAAAACAUUUUAAAACAACAAAUAGAUCUGAAAUUUCACUUUCUUAGCAUAUUAAUAUUUCCCCCCAUCUUGUCCUUGUCCAUAUGUUCAUAUUACUUGUAUAUAAAUAUUAUGU
Lontra canadensis (Northern American river otter) is the source of this 896-nucleotide long non-coding RNA. RefSeq lists it as uncharacterized. Lineage: Eukaryota; Metazoa; Chordata; Mammalia; Carnivora; Mustelidae. The transcript is spliced from 3 exons. The record is from RefSeq and is a predicted model, not a curated record.